AUUGAACGCUGGCGGCAGGCCUAACACAUGCAAGUCGAGCGGAUGAAGGGAGCUUGCUCCUGGAUUCAGCGGCGGACGGGUGAGUAAUGCCUAGGAAUCUGCCUGGUAGUGGGGGAUAACGUCCGGAAACGGGCGCUAAUACCGCAUACGUCCUGAGGGAGAAAGUGGGGGAUCUUCGGACCUCACGCUAUCAGAUGAGCCUAGGUCGGAUUAGCUAGUUGGUGGGGUAAAGGCCUACCAAGGCGACGAUCCGUAACUGGUCUGAGAGGAUGAUCAGUCACACUGGAAGUGAGACACGGCCCAGACUCCUAGGGGAGGCAGCGGUGGGGAAUAUUGGACAAUGGGGGAAAGCCUGAUCCAGCCGUGCCGCGUGUGUGAAGAAGGUCUUCGGAUGGGAAAGCACUUUAAGGUGGGAGGAAGGGCAGUAAGUUAAUACCUGGCUGUUUUGACGUUACCAACAGAAUAAGCACCGGCUAACUUCGUG
This 484-nucleotide ribosomal RNA is filed under the name uncultured bacterium. RNAcentral's name for it is "partial 16S ribosomal RNA". It matches the Rfam family "Bacterial small subunit ribosomal RNA", at positions 30 to 507 of the family's 1533-position model. The record is from RNAcentral.